CAGUCGCCGCGGGAACACGAAGGGGGCUAGCGUUGCUCGGAAUGACUGGGCGUAAAGGGCGCGUAGGCGGCUGUUACAGUCAGUCGUGAAAUUCCUGGGCUCAACCUGGGGGCUGCGUUUGAUACGUGAUGGCUUGAGUUCGGAAGAGGGUCGUGGAAUUCCCAGUGUAGAGGUGAAAUUCGUAGAUAUUGGGAAGAACACCGGUGGCGAAGGCGGCGACCUGGUCCGAUACUGACGCUGAGGCGCGAAAGCGUGGGGAGCAAACAGGAUUAGAUACCCGCGUAGUCCCUGUCUCUUAUAC
Molecule: ribosomal RNA, 301 nt
Filed under: uncultured bacterium
Lineage: Bacteria
Description: partial 16S ribosomal RNA
Rfam family: Bacterial small subunit ribosomal RNA
Source: RNAcentral